Molecule: ribosomal RNA, 253 nt
Filed under: uncultured bacterium
Lineage: Bacteria
Description: partial 16S ribosomal RNA
Rfam family: Bacterial small subunit ribosomal RNA
Source: RNAcentral
UACAGAGGGGGCUAGCGUUGUUCGGAAUUACUGGGCGUAAAGCGCACGUAGUCGGCUUUGCAAGUCGGUUGUGAAAUCCCCGGGCUCAACCUGGGAACUGCAUCCGAGACUGCAUUGCUAGAGUAUGGGAGAGGAAAGCGGAAUUUCUGGUGUAGCAGUGAAAUGCGUAGAUAUCAGAAGGAACAUCAGUGGCGAAGGCGGCUUUCUGGACCAAUACUGACGAUCAGGUGCGAAAGCGUGGGGAGCAAACAGG